AUAUUACUCUCUCCGAUGCAUAUUAAUUGUCGAAAUAUUACAUGUAUCUAGAUGUAUUUUAUGCACAGAUACAUCCAUAUUUAGACAAAUUUGAGACAAUUAAUAUGAAUCGGAGAAAGUAUCUA
Molecule: non-coding RNA, 125 nt
Organism: Brachypodium distachyon (stiff brome)
Lineage: Eukaryota; Viridiplantae; Streptophyta; Magnoliopsida; Poales; Poaceae
Source: Rfam